This 28-nucleotide small RNA is filed under the name Bombyx mori (domestic silkworm). RNAcentral describes it as "ovarian small RNA-31538". Lineage: Eukaryota; Metazoa; Arthropoda; Insecta; Lepidoptera; Bombycidae. The record is from RNAcentral.
UGACCAUCACCGGGAGGAGACAAGGACU